UGUCGAUACCUGUCCAAAACAGAACGACCCGCGAACCAACGAUCACCACUCUCGGUGGGCCGGUUUCUUAACCGAUCCUGUGCUCGCCGGAUCCGUGGUUUCGCGUAUCGCCCUGGUCGGGAGCUUUAUCUCGGUCUUGUCGUGCGCGUUGCUUCCGGAUAACACAAAACCCCGGCACGAAAAGUGUCAAGGAACAAGCAAACGAGCGGCUAGCAUUCGCCUCCCCGGAGACGGUGUGUGUGCGGGUGCUGUGCUGCGAUAUAAAGUCUAAAACGACUCUCGGCAACGGAUAUCUCGGCUCUCGCAUCGAUGAAGAACGUAGCGAAAUGCGAUACUUGGUGUGAAUUGCAGAAUCCCGUGAACCAUCGAGUCUUUGAACGCAAGUUGCGCCCCAAGCCUUCUGGCUGAGGGCACGUCUGCCUGGGUGUCACAAAUCGUCGUCCCUCAUAUUCCUUUGCGGAUGCGGGACGGAAGCUGGUCUCCCGUGUGUUACCGCACGCGGUUGGCCUAAAUCCGAGCCAAGGACGCUUGGAACGUCCCGACAUGCGGUGGUGAACAUGAUCCAUUUCAUAUUGUCGGUCGCUCCUGUCCGGAAGCUGUAGAUGACCCAAAGUCCUUUAAGCGACCCCAGGUCAGGCGGGAUUAC
This 646-nucleotide unclassified non-coding RNA is filed under the name Arabidopsis lyrata subsp. petraea. Its description in RNAcentral is "sequence contains ITS1, 5.8S rRNA gene and ITS2". The stretch from base 275 to 430 matches the Rfam family "5.8S ribosomal RNA". The record is from RNAcentral. Lineage: Eukaryota; Viridiplantae; Streptophyta; Magnoliopsida; Brassicales; Brassicaceae.